UAUAGAGUGAGUUCCAGGAUGGCCUAAAGC
RNAcentral lists this non-coding RNA (30 nucleotides) under Rattus norvegicus (Norway rat). Lineage: Eukaryota; Metazoa; Chordata; Mammalia; Rodentia; Muridae. The record is from RNAcentral.